RNAcentral lists this ribosomal RNA (399 nucleotides) under uncultured bacterium. RNAcentral's name for it is "partial 16S ribosomal RNA". It matches the Rfam family "Bacterial small subunit ribosomal RNA", at positions 338 to 754 of the family's 1533-position model. The record is from RNAcentral.
CCUACGGGGGACAGCAGUAGGGAAUAGUGCUCAAUGGGGGAAACCCUGAAGCAGCAACGCCGCGUGGAGGAUGAAGGUUUUCGGAGUGGAAAAUCCUUUUGUUAGAGAAGAGAAUGACGGUAGCUAAGGAAUAAGCACCGGCGAACUCCGUGCCAGCAGCCGCGGUAAUACGGAGGGUGCAAGCGUUCCUCGGAAGCACUGGGCGUCAAGAGGGCGGAGGCGGGAUAGCAAGUCAGAUGUGAAAUCCUAUGGCUUCACCCUAGAACUGCAUUUGAAACUGUUAUUCUAGAGUAUGGGAGAGGUAGUUGGUAUUCUUGGUGUCGUGGUCCAAUCCGUAGAGAUCCCGAGGACUACUCAUUGCGACGGCGACCUGCUAGAACCUACCUGACGCUGCUGCGC